AAAGAAUGGAAGUGGGAGUGGCAUCAUUCACUACUGCGCCUAGUGACUCACAAGCAAAAUGUUUACUUCCUGUUUCCAUGACAUUAUGCUCUGCUGGCCUAGACGUCUUAGUUCCAGAGGAUGGAAUGCUUCACCAGGAGACACAAGAAUAAUUUCCUUGACCUGGGAGUUAAGACUGCCACCCAGCCACCUUGUGCUCUCCAUGCUGCUGAUUCAACAGGCAAAUAAGGAAGUUAUGGUGUGGGCUACAGUGAUUGAUCUGACUAACAAGAGGGAAAUUGCUCCACCAUGGGGGUGAGGGAGAGUACAUCUGGAAUACAGAAGUUCCCUUAGGACACCCUUAGUGUUCCCACACAUUGCGAUUAAGGCCAGUGGAAAACUACAAUAACUCAGUUCAGGCGGAACAACUCAUGGGGCAGAAUCUUCAAGGAAUGAAGAUUUGAGUCCUUCUACCAGGUUUUGCAGAGUGCCUCCAGAAAUAAAAGUGUUACAAAAGAAUCACUUCAGAAAACCUACACUUAGAGAGUCCAUUUGAAAAUUGCCCUAUUUGAAAUGAAGUGGAGAUCAGUAAUAACAAGGACUUCCCCAUAUAACCCAAGGUCCUACUGGGUUAGUGUGAUCUUCUGCGGAAGGCUGCAGCUGCUGUCAGGAGGCCCUCUGUCUACACUCCUCUCUGGAGAAGUGUAAGUGUUUUGUCAGGUCCCUUUUAAACUGAAGCAUAGUGAGAACAAGUGUAAAGCACAACACAGACGGAAGAUUGCACCUUAGCUCACUGCCCCGUGCACCCCGGUUACACCGUCUAAGAAAACACUCUGGAUUCAAUCCUUGGAAAAGUAGUAUGUGCUGAGCUACCACUUCUGGAAGAGUCUUUCCUGGUUAAUUACUUGAAACCUGUUGCAUUGGGAAUUUCUCAGAAAGUCUGCCUUGAUGAGCUUUACUCAAGAGCCGCAACUUCACGGAUCGGACAACAGAAAAGACUUCGGCAGUUACCAAAUCUGAAGUACUCAUUGUGCAUGCUAGCAAUCUGGGACUAAUAAGGUUAAAUUGUCUGAGACCUCAAGGUGGAAGUGACAGUUUGUCUCCAUGAGGUCAUACAGCUGCUUGAGGUUGCUCGGAGAGUAAGAAGCAGAAUGAGAACUAGAACAGAAGCUCACUUUGGCCUGAAGGCUCAUGUGCUGAGCAUCUUCCCUUGUCUGUCUCCACCCCUAGCCUGGUGCCCAGCAUGUAGAAGACCUUCAUCCUAGAUGCAAUGGGAUUAAACUUGGAGAAAAUGGGAUUAAACUUGGACAAACACUACCUAUUUGGACUUGUGAUGAUGGCUUUCAAACUUCUUAAAGCAAUGAAGUAUUUUUUCCAGAAGAAACCUUACACAAGAAGCCCAGCACACUGAGUCAAGCAUAUGUAGGUGGAAGAUAUCUGGUUGAGACCAAGUAGAGAUAAACCUGUAGAUUCAACUGUGCCACCACAGUGAAUUCUAAGAAUCCACUGACUGUGAUCUGUAAGCUCCUACUCCACAGGAGGUCAGGGCACACAGCUUGAAACCGGAAGGCAGAAGAGUGACAGGGAAGGGUCAUGGACUCUGAAAUUAGAGCUAUCUGUGUUUUAAUACUAGUUCCAAUAGGCACAUGGUCUUGGAUAAAUGGUUUAAAUUAUCUGAGUCUCAAUUUCUUUCUCUGCAAAAAGGGAUGAUUAGUACAUAUGUAAUAGGGUUUUUAUAGAAAAUUGUAUAACUUGUUAAACACACAUGUACUAAGUGCUUGGUGCCCAGUAUGCACUGAAUAAAUGCUAGCUCCUUGCCUUUCAUCUCUAUGACCCUUCCCAAAUCUCUCAGCCCCAUAUUGCUUCAUGUAGUGUGUGUAUAUUUGGGAAAAUUUGUGUGCAUAUUUACAGAUGGGAUCCUACUCUUCUAUUGACAGACUGUCUUUUCAGAUGUGCCUUACUUUCAUUGCAUUGGUUUUUCAACUGAAAGUGAACAUAAAGGUUUUAAGCAUGCCUAGGUCUUAUCUUUUUGGUCAAAUAUCUAACACCCUCAAUAACAGUUGUAAAUCAUUCUUUUGUAAUUUGAUCAUUCAUUUUUAUAAAGUAAAACACAACUGCCCACUGUAAAAAUAGACUUCAUUUGCUCUUUUCUUCCAGUGCAGCAAAUGACAGACACUUUAAGAACACACAUUUAACUUCAGCAAACAAAUCAUGUAUAUUUUAGACAUAACUGUCAAGUAUAGAAAUGAUACCAUCCAACUUACCAAACUAUCACAUAAGAAUGCCCAAUAGCAGACAUUAGGAUGGGGCAAAACUGAAAGAAGGAUUGACUUCAUCAAACCCUUGAUGACAUACAAAAUGGAAACCAUUCAAGUUCAACUGAAGAAAACGAUAUCCCACAAGAUCUAGGGGUAAAAAGCAGACAAAGUUUAGGAAUGAAUUUAAACUACUGACUUACGUGUUGUCAGGAGUCUAUUUCUAUUCCUCAAUUUUACUCCUUUUUGUACAACUGUGUGCAUUCUCUCUCUGACUCUCUCUUCCUCCCUCCCAACACCCCCCACCCUCUUCUUGUUGCUGUUUCUCUCUAUUUCUUCAGAUCAAAGGGUUGAUCUCUUCCAAAUGUACAUAUUACAGAUCCACACUCUUAGAAAAACAACAGAAUCUCUCUAGUGCUUAAUUUAAUUUGUCCAUCUAAAAGAUAUUACUUGGCCCAAUUUGACCAAGCACCAUCUACUGGACCAAAUAAUGGUGGCCAGAGAAGCAUGGUCACAAUGGGGAAUGGGAAUAAGAUGGGGAUCAUAUGGGGACUAAGAAUGGGCAAGAACAUCUCCCAGAGUGGUAAGAGAAACAAUCUAAUGGGCAUAUAUUCCCAGUGUCCUCAAAUACUCCUCUACCCUAAAUUGCUUGCUCUGCUCUUGGGCCUUUGGAUGUGCUGACCUGAGUAGUGGUAACAAGUUCAGAAUUGUAGGGAAAGGGCUAUGAGUUUAUAUUUUAAGGGCAGAGAGUGGCAUUUAUGCAGUGGAAACACAUGGAAGAUGAGUAGGAUUGUGAAGGAUAAACUUGGGAAAAGAACAAUGACCUGAAGAGUACUAAUAAAUGCAGGGAUGGGUGACCAGAAAGAAAGGAUAGAUAGGAGGAAAAUCUUAGAGUAAAACUGGCAAAAGUUCACGGCCAGUUUAGUUAAUGGAAUCAAGGACAGUGAAAACGCAAUGAUAACUUCAGUGUUCUGGUUCUGAUGACCAAAGAAGGUCAUCAUUGUGAUGGAUAUUUUCUCUUAUUUCAUAACCUCUGCUCUAUGCUCUGUGUGAUUCCUCUCCUUCCAUUCAACUUGCCUUGCAUUUUCCGGAGUCUACUCCUUGGCUAAAUAGGGUCCUUCUUUCUCAGUAGCCCUUACUACCGAAUUAAAUCAUGGUGCCAGGGCUCAUUCUGCUUUGUUUCUGGAAACCUGCCAAGCAUGCUCCUGCCUUGGGGGCUUGCACUGAUUCGUUGCUCCAUAUUGAAAUGUUAUUUGCAUGGUCACCUGUGGCCCUGAUAUGGUUUGGCUGUGUCCCCACCCAGAUCUCGAAUUGUAGCUCUCAUAAUUCCCACGUCAUGGGAGGGACCCAGUGGAAAGUAACUGAUUCAUGAGAGCAGGUGUUUCCCCCAUACUGUUCUCAUGAUAGUGGUAUAAGUCUCACAAGAUCUGAUGGUUUUUAUAAAGGGGAGUUUCCCUGCACAUGCUCUCUCUCUCGCCUGUUGCCAUGUAAGAUGUGCCUUUUCUCCUCCUUUGCCGCCCACCGUGAUUGUGAAGCCUCCCCAGCCACGUGGAACUGUGAGUCCAUUAAACCUCUUUCCUUUGUAAAUUACCUGGUCUUGGGUAUGUCUUUAUCAGCAGCAUGAGAACAGACUAAUACAGGCUCCUAUCCACACUUCCUCAGGACUCUCUCAGAGACCCCUUGCCUUACCAGCCUAUGUUAUUCCCAGUAGCCUUCUAUCCCUGUAUCUGGCUUUAGCUUAUUCAUGACCUGAUAUUUUACCAUCAGGAAAUAAAUAUAAAUAUCAACAAUGAAAGUAUAAAUGAAUGAUAUCUCUUUUCUUGACCAUCCCUACACAACAGAAUCCAAGUUUCAUGACAGCAGGGAUAUGUGUGGCUUACUGCAGUACUUUUACCUCCUAGAAGUCUCCUAGGCCAAUGGUAGAUGCUCGAUUAAUAUUUGUAGGAUGAAUAAGUGAAAAAAGUUUUGACUAGGGUCAGUAGUGUUAAUCUUGGUUCAAAAUAAAACAUGAGGUAAAAAUAAACGAGUAAGAAAAGAAACAAUUUAACAGACGAUGGCUUUUCCCACUUUUAUGUGAUGUUGCCUAGGCUUUGCCAUUUUAUUGAAUGGACAAACUUCUUUAUGACAUAACUUCCCUCUCACUCUCUCCUCCCAAUAGCAUAAAAUAAUGUAAAAGUCAGGAGAUCAAAAUCUAGCAGACCCAAUUUCAGUUCAAUAUAAUAUUGUAACAUUAACCAUAAAAACCAUAGAAAAAAACCUAGACAAUACCAUUCAGGACAUAGGCAUGGGCAAAGACUUCAUGACUAAAACACCAAAAGCAAUUGCAACAACAGCCAAAAAGUGACAAAUGGGAUCUAAUUAACCUAGAGUUUCUGCACAGCAAAAUAAACUAUCAUCAGAGUAAACAGACAACCUACAGAAUUAGAGAAAAUGUUUUCAAUCUAUCCACCUGACAAAGGGCUAAUAUCCAGAACCUAAAAGGAACUUAAACAAAUUUACAAGAAAAAAACAACCCCAUCAAAAAGUGCGUGAAGGGUAUGAACAGACACUUUUCAAAAGAAGACAUUUAUGUGGCCAACAAACAUAUGAAAAAAAGCUCAUCAUCACUUGUCAUUAGAGAAAUGCAAAUCAAAACCACAACGAGAUACCGUCUCAUGACAGUUAGAAUGGCGAUCAUUGAAAAGUCAGAAAACAACAGAUGCUGGAGAGGGUGUAGAGAAAUAGGAAUGCUUUUACACUGUUGGUGGGAGUGUAAAUUAGUUCAACCAUUGUGGAAGAUAGUGUGGUGAUUCCUCAGGGAUCUAGAACUAGAAAUAUCAUUUGAUCCAGCAAUCCCAUUACUGGGUAUAUACCAAAAGGAUAAUAAAUCAUUCUACUAUAAAGACACAUGUACACGUAUGUUUAUUGCAGCACUAUUCACAAUAGCAAAGACUUGGAAUACUAUGCAGCCAUAAAAAAUGAUGAGUUCAUGUCCUUUGCAGGGACAUGAAUGAAGCUGGAAACCAUCAUUCUCAGCAAACUAACACAGAAACAGAAAACCAAACACCACGUGUUCUCACUCAUAAGUAGGAGUUGAAGAAUGAGAACAUGUGGACACAGGGAGGGGAACAUCACACACUGGGUCCUGUUGAGCGCUGGGGGACAAGGGGAGGAGUAGCAUUAGGAGAAAUACCUAAAGUAAAUGAUGGGUUGAUGGGUGUAGCAAACCACCAUGGCACAUGUAUACCUAUGUAACAAACCUGCACGUUCUGCACAUGUAUCCCAGAACUUAAAGUAUAAUAAAUUUAAAAAAAGAAAAAAAAUUGUUGUCUUCUCUGUGCCCGUUUUCUUUUAUUUUAAAAUGGCCUGAAAUAAUUUAAUAUGUGUUAUGGAUUAAAUCGUGUCCCUCAAAAAGAUGUUGAAAUCCUAAGCCCCUUAUCUGUGAGUGUG
This 5663-nucleotide long non-coding RNA is filed under the name Homo sapiens (human). RNAcentral describes it as "HSALNT0183175". Lineage: Eukaryota; Metazoa; Chordata; Mammalia; Primates; Hominidae. The record is from RNAcentral.